RNA transcript from Rhopalosiphum padi (bird cherry-oat aphid), 1597 nucleotides. It is a transcript of the gene named cytochrome c oxidase subunit 3-like, with no coding region annotated. The transcript has a single exon. NCBI's taxonomy places the organism in Eukaryota, Metazoa, Arthropoda, Insecta, Hemiptera, Aphididae. The record is from RefSeq and is a predicted model, not a curated record.
UUAUUUAUUAAUAUCACUUAAUUCCUCAAAUAGCACCAAUUAAUUGAUUAAUUUUAUUCUUAUUUUUUUUUUCUACAUUUUAUGUAAUCAUAAACUUACUAUAUUUUAAUUUUAUUAAAAACUUAAAAAUUAAUUUUUUUAAAAAAAAUAACAUAAAAAAUUACAACAAAUUUAUUUAAUAUUUUUGACCCAUCAACAACAAUUUUUAAUUUAGAAAUAAAUUGAAUCAGAACUCUUUUAAUCAUUUUAUUUAUACCAAACUUUUUAUGAAUCUUACCAAAUCGAAUAAACUGAUUAUUAUUUAAAAUAUUUAAUAUACUAAACAAUGAAAUACUAAUACUUUAUAAAAUAAAAAAAACUAAAUCUCCUGCAUUUUUAUUUAUUUCACUUUUUAUAUUUAUUCUACUUAAUAAUUUUUUUAGCUUAUUCCCAUAUAUUUUUUCAUCAUCAAGUCAUAUAGUAUUUUCUGUUACUUUAGCUAUUCCAUUUUGAAUAUUUUUUAUUAUUUUGUCAACUUGUAAAAACACUAAAAAUAUAAUUGCACACUUGAUUCCUUUAAAUACACCAAUUUACCUAGCCCCAUUAAUAACAAUUAUUGAAACAAUAAGAAUUAUUAUUCGACCAAUAUCUCUUUCUAUUCGUUUAACAGCUAAUUUAAUUGCAGGACAUUUAUUAAUAACUCUAUUAAAUUUUAAUUCACUUAUAAUUAUUAUUAUUUUUAUUCAAAUAUUUAUAAUAAUUUUUGAAUUAUGCGUAGCUUUAAUUCAAAGUUAUGUAUUCUCAAUUCUUUCAUCUUUAUACUCUAGUGAAUAAUGAUAAAAAUUAAUCAACCAUAUUUUAUUUUAAGAUUAAGUCCAUGACCUAUCUUAAUAGCAUUUAAUACAUUUAAUUUAAUAAUUUCUAAUAUUAUAAUUAUAAAUUUUAAAUAAAUAUAAUAUCAUUAUUUAAUCUACUAAUAAUUAUUAGUAUUUCUAUCUUAUGAUGACGAGAUGUAAUUCGAGAAAGAACAUUUCAAGGUAAUCAUAAUUUUUAUAUUAUAAAUUUAAUCAAAUUUAGAAUAAUCUUAUUUAUUAUCUCUGAAAUAUUUUUAUUUAUUUCUUUUUUUUGAAAUUUUCUACACAAUUCUUUAGCACCAUCAAUUGAACUAGGACUAAAUUGACCACCAAAAAAUAUUAUAUUUUUCAAUCCAUUAUUAAUUCCUUUAUUAAAUACAAUUAUUUUAUUAACAUCAAGUUUUACUGUUACUUUAGCUCAUCUUUACUUACUUAAUAAUUCUAAAAAAAAAACUAUCAUUUUUAUAAAUUUAACAAUUAUUUUAAGUAUCUACUUUCUAAUACUUCAAAUAUUAGAAUAUAAACAAGCUACAUUUACAUUCUCAGAUUCAAUUUUUGGUUCUUCUUUUUAUAUAGCAACAGGAUUUCAUGGUUUACAUGUAAUUAUCGGAACAAUUUUUUUAAUUAUCAAUCUUAUACGAAUAAUUAAACUUCACUUUUCUCAUAUUCAUCAUAUCAGAUUUGAAUUAGGAGCUUGAUAUUGACAUUUUAUUGAUAUCAUUUGACUAUUUCUUUAUAUAACUUUUUAUUGAUGAAAUAAUUAA